Molecule: long non-coding RNA, 2590 nt
Organism: Mustela lutreola (European mink)
Lineage: Eukaryota; Metazoa; Chordata; Mammalia; Carnivora; Mustelidae
Exons: 3
Source: RefSeq, a predicted model, not a curated record
CCUGGAAGCAAAGGAGCAGAAUCCACUUUACCGCAUUCCUUUGGUUUAAUUUCUCCAGUCUCCAGAAUGGGCUCUCUCCUGGCUUUAUAAAAGUGGCUCCAUUUUAAGGUCUCUGCGGUGCAAACCACACAACAUGGACCUCCUCCCAAAGGGCAGGUAUCCAGUCAGGUGGAGGGACCAAAACUGGAGCAGCUGGCUCUGGCACUUGGAAGCAGGACCUUCAGAGACAGAACCACCAGAAAAGAAGGUUUGGAUCACUCUACCUGAUAAAGAGAUGCUUGCUGAAGGCAGAGGGAGGAGGAAAUGAGUAGGAAAGCAAGACCAUUCAUCCCAACGCAGCCUCGUGAAGAGUUCACAGACAUGAGGUCUGCAACUCAAUCUGUGUUCCCCGUGUGAAUGUUACAGGUCAAACCUGGAUCAUGAGGAGGGAGUUGUCAAACUAGCCUGGAGCAUAUGUUUAGAGCAAGGAACUGGAUUGCGGAAGAAUUUGGAAACCAUUCGGUGAACAAAAGAUGAAGAUGAACUAACUGGUGAUGUUUUAUGUAGAGAAAGAAGAAGAUUCGGGGCAUGUCCUGUCGUUAUUUUCCAGUAUUUGAGGCCUAGGAAAGCAGAGGAAAUGUAUUUUGUCAUCCCGAGGAAAUAGAAUGAAACCAGCAGGUGAAACCUCCGUGAAGGAAAAUUUUGUCUGAUUUUAAAGAACUUUCUAGCAGUCACAGCUGUUCAAAGAAAGAGCUGCUACCGGAGGUGGUGAGCAUCCUGUCUCUCAAAACUUAAAUAUAGAUCAUUUGGGAUUGAAAAAGACAUUCAGCACUGGACGUGUAUUUGUACUAAGAGGCAAAAAGACCCCUGCGCUUCUUUCAUAGAAGUCAGUGAGGCUGUGCGGGUUCCUCUUCAUUCGCCUCCGCAUUCACAUCCACUCUCCGUCCUGCUCUGUCCUGGAAAGCUAGCUUUGGUGGAUGACAUCAUCGGGCUCCCGGGAUCUCUGGAGUUCAUUCACGCUUGGCCACCGGACAGUUCAGAGAAGUGAUCCGGGACGGGAGGGGGCGGGGAGAGUGAAGAGGCUGUCCCCGUGGAGCCGAAGGGUUCUGGCAGUCCUUCCACCUCUCCGCUUAGCCUGCAGGGAGGCCCCGUGCCUUUGGCUCCAUCAACCAGACAGCGACGUCAGAGCAUUCGCCCUCCCUCACCCCUGCUCCCUCGAGCCCAGGGAUGCUGACGGCUUCUCAAUGAAGCCAGUCACACAACACCUGCCACACCCUCAGCGGAGUCUCGGAAUUCCUAUGAGUUUUUAAGAGUUCCUCCCAUCAAGAUGUAGUGGUUAUUUGCCUUCUUCCCUCAAACCGGGUCCAGCUGGGCCUGUCGGGGUGACCAACAGGAAGUAAGAGAAAUCAAUGCACAGGACCUCAAGAGUCUUAGGGCUCCCCUGCUCACUGUCGGGACACCUGACCCAAGCGAGCUGUAGAGCCUGCUGGGCUGAAAGAGCCCGUUGAAAGAGGGCCCAGCAUCUCAGUCAAGCUGACCCCAGACUGGCCAGCCAAUGCACCCAUCAGCUGAGAGCAGCUGCUUGGGUCACCAGGCACAGACCCGCAGAAGAACCACCAAGGCAACCCACAGAAAAACCAGGCAUGGUUGUUGUUCUAAUUCCCAAAUAUGGAGGGAGCUUUGUUAUUCAGUGAAAAGAUAACUGAGCCAACUCUGGCUCAGUGAUCCAGAAUUAUCUCCAAGUGUGCUGCCCGGUUCUCGCUGUGACCCAGACUGGCACAAAGUUCUGUGGAAGGAACCUGGCUGUGGCCUUGGAGGCGUUUCUCCACUCUCUCCACUUUGACCCUGCCAAGGUAAGGAAAGGCUCCUUUCUGAGGUCCCCUGGCCACUUCUUCCUACCAGGGGGAAGUAGAGGGCCGCCCUAGUGGGCCAGACCCUUCUCCAGUCACAGCGUCAGCAAGGUGGCCAAGCCGAUGUCUUAUUUUCCUCCCGAAGAGAGCCAAAAAAGUGGAGUGUAUGGUCUUAGACCUUGUUUAGAAGGAAGGUCCCUGACUUCUCUUCUGACCUAAUUUCAAAAAUUGUGGAAGUUCUAGUCUAUGGGAAUAAGUGGAAACAAUUUGGGCCUCGAUAUAAAACGUGAGACAGAAAAUAUCCUUCCUAUUUUUUUGUUCCUCCACUUAGUUCUGGAAAUAACAGCAACUGACUUUUGAAUUUUUCCUGGUAAUUCCUUUUUAAAAGUAUUAGGAAAAUACUGGAAAGGACAAUUGUGUAAGUCAUAUAAAUGUCAGAGAUGUAAAUAAAAAGUGGUGUUUUUCCUCUUCACUCUCCCUCUCCCCAGAAAUGAUGAAUGUUAAUGAUUUAGUAUGUAUAUUUCCUGACUUUGGCCCAUACCAAUGUUGCAUUUUCAUUUUUUUUUUUUCAUGUCAUGGUGGUGAUAUGAGUGGUUCUAAGGCCAAAGACUCAUGUUACAACAAAGAAGCGUUAUAAGUGAGGAAUCUUGGUUGUUUGAAUAUCUUGAGAGUUACUUAUAUUCCAAAUGAAUAUGACUAACUUUAAAGUUUUGGAGACAAUAAAUGCAACCAAAAGUAAAACUAGACCACUCAUCAUUGGC